Leopardus geoffroyi (Geoffroy's cat) is the source of this 1036-nucleotide long non-coding RNA. RefSeq lists it as uncharacterized. The transcript is spliced from 3 exons. Lineage: Eukaryota; Metazoa; Chordata; Mammalia; Carnivora; Felidae. The record is from RefSeq and is a predicted model, not a curated record.
CAGAAACCAAUAAAAAGGAUUCUUUGGAUGGUACCCAUAUACACGUUACAUAUUUCAAAGCUAUGAAAUAUCUUUGAAAUAUCUCAGCAUUGCAAUAUGUAGAUACCUGCAGAGAAUGUUAUGAAGCUUAUGUCAUUUACAACUUUAUGGGAUUCCUUACCAAUUAUCUAACUAACUGGUAUCCAAAUCGGGUAUUAAUUCUUGAAGCCAAAGAUCAGCAGAAACAUUUCCCUCCUUUAUGUUGUGGUCCACCAUGGACUAUGGGAAAAGUAUUGCUGUUUCGGUGCAAACUGGGUGUACUGCAGUAUACAGUUACCAAACCAUUCACCACCAUUGUUGCUUUAAUCUGUGAGCUGCUUGGUAUAUAUGAUGAAGGAAACUAGCUUUUCAAAUGCUUGGACUUACUUGGUUAUAAUAAACAACAUGUCACAAUUCUUUGCCAUGUAUCUUCUGCUGCUAUUUUAUAAAGUACUGAAGGAAGAGUUGGGUCCAAUUCAACCUGUUGGCAAAUUUCUUUUUGUAAAGCUGGUGGCUUUUGUUUCCUUUUGGCAAGCAGUCGUUAUCGCUUUGUUGGUUAAAGUUGGCGUUAUUUCUGAAAAGCAUACAUGGGAAUGGCAAACUGUAGAAGCUGUGGCUACAGGACUCCAGGACUUUAUCAUCUGUAUUGAGAUGUUCCUUGCUACUAUUGCUCAUCACUACACUUUCUCAUAUCAACCAUAGGUCUAAGAAGCAGAAGAGGGUCAUGCUUUGAUUCCUUUCUUGCCAUGUGGGAUGGUUCAGAUAUUAGGGAUGAUAUUUCUGAGCAAGUAAGGCAUGUUGGAUGGACAGUCAUGGGACAUUCUAGGAAGAAGUUCUUUCCUGAGGACCAAGAUCAAAAUGAACAUACAAGCUUGCUACCAUCAUCAUCACAAGAUGCAAUUUCUGUUGCCUCUUCUGUACCACCUUCACCCAUGGGUCACUACCAAGGGUUUGCACACACUGUGACUCCCCAGAUCGGAAGAGUACUACAGGAAGGGAAAGAGAGAGAUAGAGGAGG